GAAUUUUGCGCAAUGGGCGAAAGCCUGACGCAGCAACGCCGCGUGGAGGAUGAAGGUCUUUGGAUUGUAAACUCCUGUCAGCAGGGAAAAAGGGGUCUGGCCACACCAGAUCAUUGAUUGUACCUGCAGAGGAAGCCCCGGCUAACUCUGUUCCAGCAGCCGCGGUAAUACAGAGGGGGCAAGCGUUAUUCGGAAUUAUUGGGCGUAAAGGGCGCGUAGGCGGCUUGGCAAGUGGAAGGUGAAAUCCCUCGGCUCAACCGAGGAACUGCCUUCUAAACUGCUUUGAUUGAGUCCGGGAGAGGUCAGUGGAAUUCCCAGUGUAGCGGUGAAAUGCGUAGAUAUUGGGAGGAACACCAGUGGCGAAGGCGGCUGACUGGACCGGUACUGACGCUGAGGCGCGAAAGCGUGGGGAGCAAAC
Molecule: ribosomal RNA, 418 nt
Filed under: uncultured bacterium
Lineage: Bacteria
Description: bacterial SSU rRNA
Rfam family: Bacterial small subunit ribosomal RNA
Source: RNAcentral